GAUAGGUCCAAAUUAGGUGUGCUCGAGGAGGGGUAAGUGCAUUUUUCGGAAAAAUAAAGAGAGAAGGAAAAAGAGAAGGAAGAGCAUUGAGGGCCUGAGCCGAACGAAUUUCACUGUUCGCUCGGUCGUUGUUCGAUCUCGGAACAGGGCUAUACUCGAACCAGAAUUUCCUGUAAACGGGUUUGGUACCGAUUCGUACUCGGGCAUGUCAUGUGUGGCCUAUCAGAAACCGUAAUUCCAGCUCGGAAAUCUCGCCGCUCGUGAAAUUCUUGUGAAUUCCGUGCUCCCGUUGAAGGUCGGAGAAGAAGACCUCCGAUCCGAGAAAUGAUAACCCGGUCCAAACUCGCCGAGCAACUCAGAGACUACCAGAUCCGAUCCCAGCACAAGUGUCCCGCUCUCACUGUCUUCUCUCCCAAACCCCAUAUCACUUCCUGGGUUGAUGUCGCCAUGGCGAUCUUUUGGGCUUUAGUGUUUAGCGUGCUUGUGGUGUCAUCCUAUGUGUCCUUGUACUUCAGUCACUUUUGGCUCUCUUUUGUGAUUAUCUGCCUCGGUAUCUUUCUUCCGGUACGCCUAAGAAUAUCUAGGCACGCACUGGCCAGGAAGAAGGAGGGAAGAUUGUUGUUACCAUUAUCCAUGUGAACAUCUAUGGCAGUGAAAUCAUGCAGCCAUGUGCUUUAUCUGGGAAUGACUCAUUGCUCACCUUCGAUUCAUUUGCUCUCGCUAGAAUGUAUUAGACACUUGGGUACCGAUUUGGUGAAAACGGCUCUUGCCUGCUGCUUUUCAAGAUAGAUGGUAUGAUUCUUUUUUGUCCUUUAACCCACACACAAAGGCAUGAGAAUUUGCCAAACACAAUCACAUGUAAACACCAUACAUUUUGAGCAUAGAUAAAAGACAACUUUCUAUU
Molecule: long non-coding RNA, 904 nt
Organism: Alnus glutinosa
Lineage: Eukaryota; Viridiplantae; Streptophyta; Magnoliopsida; Fagales; Betulaceae
Exons: 2
Source: RefSeq, a predicted model, not a curated record